UACGAAGGGGGCUAGCGUUGCUCGGAAUCACUGGGCGUAAAGGGUGCGUAGGCGGGCCUUUAAGUCAGGGGUGAAAUCCUGGAGCUCAACUCCAGAACUGCCUUUGAUACUGAGGAUCUUGAGUUCGGGAGAGGUGAGUGGAGCUGCGAGUGUAGAGGUGAAAUUCGUAGAUAUUCGGAAGAACACCAGUGGCGAAGGCGACUUACUGGACACAUAUUGACGCUGAGGUGCGAAAGCGUGGGGAGCAAACAGG
RNAcentral lists this ribosomal RNA (253 nucleotides) under uncultured bacterium. Its description in RNAcentral is "partial 16S ribosomal RNA". It matches the Rfam family "Bacterial small subunit ribosomal RNA", at positions 524 to 776 of the family's 1533-position model. The record is from RNAcentral.